CAAAAACAUUCAGCUUUGAUAUUAAUGAGUUUUUUGGGUUCAUUGAGAACAUGGUUGUUGUUCAAUAAUAAAAUUAUUCCUCAAAAAUACAACUUGCCUAAUAAUUCUGCACUCCCUAUACUAGGUCUUAAAGGGUUAAUGUCAUUAACAGCAAAGCAGCUGAAACUGAUGCUACUUAACUGAUCAGAUCAAUAUCCCAGAAGCUCGUCUGACUUGAUGCUAUGCUAUCCUUUAUGUAUUUAUUUUUUAUAAGAAAGUAGGAGAAAAUCCAAACUGUCAAAGGAAAAAGAAUGAAAAAGUGGCGCAGUGGCCUUUAGUUCGCUCUUUCAGCCUUGCUUGGUUCACUCCUGCCGUUUGUAUCAUAGAUUUAUUAUCACAGCGCGUGCUGUGUUGCUUUGUAAUUUCAUCUGGAAAUGAUUGGCGAUGCUUGCGGAGAAUGUUGGAAUAUUUCCUGUGAUUUAGCAAAGGGACGAGGACUCGUUAUCUGGAGAAAAGGUGAGUAAACGCUGUUAAAAGCCGACCGAGUCUCUGCAUCAUCACAAAGCAGAAGCAGGGAGGAACAUACAGCAUACUGUACAUUACCACUGAGACAGCGCUACAGACACAACCUUUAAAACAAGAAUAUCUCACUUUAAUUUGCGAGAGGAUGCGCGAGCUGUGUACUAAAGUUAUCUUUCCAGGAAAACGGAACAUUCUUGCAUGAAAGAAACAAACUGAAGGGAAAAAAUGCUCCAAAUCCAACCACUUCAGAAAGGACUGAUAAAUAAAUGCAUGCUGACAAACACAAAUGCACAUAUGCACAUCUUACACGUUAUCUAAAAAAAAACCAAAAAAACCCCCUGUUGCAUUACAGGCUGAAAAACAGUGAAAAAGUUCCCAUCUUUAAAUUACUGUGUGUUUGGAAUACAGGUUCAUCAUCCUGUCAGUGGCAGCUCUGCCUCAACAACUGGUCAAGGUGUACUGCCCGUAGGUCAUUAUCAGUCUGCACUACCACCUCAGAGCCCCCUUUGCCUACAACUAAUAGGACAGAGCAUGCAACACGCACAUUAUGUGUCAUGCUCAAGUAUUUUCAAGCACUGAAAUCUGUCCUUUAAUUGUAAAGUGAUCACUUUAUUACCAGGUCUUGUCCCAGCGAGAGCUACAUUAUGAUGCAUUUGUGCACCUGAGUAAGUGUUGGAGUCGUUAACAAUGCCUGGAGGUAUAGCUUGUUUCUCCAACCAAGUUCUUGCCACGAUGACUUAUGGAGCACAUUAUUGUUUAUUAAUAGGAAGCAGACUUCACCCCGAUUAUUUGGUUUGCACAGGCAUGAAUGCGUUCACCACAUUUCCACAGGCUUAGUGGGUAUUGCAGGUUUUUAUAUUAGCUGCUUCAAAGCUCCAAAGUCCCCUCUUCUGGGAGCUGACGAAGUCGU
Molecule: long non-coding RNA, 1411 nt
Organism: Astatotilapia calliptera (eastern happy)
Lineage: Eukaryota; Metazoa; Chordata; Actinopteri; Cichliformes; Cichlidae
Source: Ensembl